Molecule: ribosomal RNA, 325 nt
Filed under: uncultured microorganism
Description: bacterial SSU rRNA
Rfam family: Bacterial small subunit ribosomal RNA
Source: RNAcentral
GUGCACCAGUCGCGAAUAUUCGGCAAUGGGCGAAAGCCUGACCGAGCGACGCCGCGUGCGGGAUGAAGGCCUUCGGGUUGUAAACCGCUUUUCUAAGGGAAAAAAUUGUGUCUCACUGUUGUUUGGAGAAAAAAUAAUAAGAAUAAGAUGGAUGGCCGUAGAGUUCCGUGACUUCGCAGGUUUUCAUAAAAUACCAAAUUACAGUGAGGCACAAAUUGAUGGUACCUUAGGAAUAAGAGGUUGCUAACUCCGUGCCAGCAGCAGCGGUAAUACGGAGGCCUCAAGCGUUAUCCGGAUUUAUGGGCUAAAGGGUGUGUAGGCGGAU